This 478-nucleotide ribosomal RNA is filed under the name Capnocytophaga sp. 'ARUP UnID 181'. RNAcentral's name for it is "bacterial SSU rRNA". It matches the Rfam family "Bacterial small subunit ribosomal RNA", at positions 27 to 506 of the family's 1533-position model. Lineage: Bacteria; Pseudomonadati; Bacteroidota; Flavobacteriia; Flavobacteriales; Flavobacteriaceae. The record is from RNAcentral.
GGAUGAACGCUAGCGGCAGGCCUAACACAUGCAAGUCGAGGGAGAAGCCCUUUCGGGGGCAGAAACCGGCGCACGGGUGCGUAACGCGUAUGCAACCUACCUUUCACAGGGGGAUAGCCCGAAGAAAUUUGGAUUAAUACCCCAUAAUAUUGUUGGAUGGCAUCAUCUGGCAAUUAAAGCUACGACGGUGGAAGAUGGGCAUGCGUCCUAUUAGCUAGUUGGAGUGGUAACGGCACCCCAAGGCUACGAUAGGUAGGGGUCCUGAGAGGGAGAUCCCCCACACUGGUACUGAGACAGGGACCAGACUCCUACGGGAGGCAGCAGUGAGGAAUAUUGGUCAAUGGUCGGAAGACUGAACCAGCCAUGCCGCGUGCAGGAAGAAUGCCUUAUGGGUUGUAAACUGCUUUUAUAUGGGAAGAAUAAGGCGUACGUGUACGUUGAUGACGGUACCAUAUGAAUAAGCAUCGGCUAACUCCGU